ACAGAAGUCCUCAAAGCCCUGCAAGAACUCAAUGUUUGUUGGAAGAAAAUUGGUCACUAUAAUAUGAAGUGCAGGUGGAUUCCAGGUAUUCCUGGUCAUCAUGAGGGCAUGGUUAAUGACCCUGUGCAUAAUAAUCAUUUCUUUGGGGAUGAAUCCACCAUUAUCGAGAAUGAUGGAGUCACUAAGUCACCAAAUGUGGUGAAGUUUGAAGUGCAGCUUUACAAAACUCGCGAGGAGAAAUACCUGCUCGACUUACAAAGGGUUCAAGGACCCCAAUUUCUCUUCUUAGAUCUUUGUGCAGCUUUUCUUGCACAACUCCGAGUCCUUUAGCAGGAGAAAGGGUAGACUUUCGAGACCUCUGUCCACAGACCUCUUCUUAUGCCUGUGAAUAAGAAAUCACGGUGUAAAUAACUGUCUUUCAGUCUUAGUCUCAUGUUUACUGCUUUUAAUUUCUCCCUCAAUUUUAUAUGGGUGAUUGUUGUGUAAAAGCCAACAUCCAAAAGCACAAGUUGGCUAACUUACUAUUGAUCUGUUUUGAUAGUCUGUUAUCUCUCGCUAGGAUUUUCCUUAAUACUAUUAACCUUUCUUAGAAAUUAUGAAAUUCCCCAUAAG
This 612-nucleotide unclassified non-coding RNA is filed under the name Hevea brasiliensis (rubber tree). Lineage: Eukaryota; Viridiplantae; Streptophyta; Magnoliopsida; Malpighiales; Euphorbiaceae. The record is from RNAcentral.